RNAcentral lists this long non-coding RNA (1312 nucleotides) under Rhinopithecus bieti (black snub-nosed monkey). Its description in RNAcentral is "lncRNA (ENSRBIG00000045242.1)". Lineage: Eukaryota; Metazoa; Chordata; Mammalia; Primates; Cercopithecidae. The record is from RNAcentral.
GGUAAAACAGCAAAAUCUUCCAUAAUUAUCAACGAGGUGGUGAGUGGUAGAUUUUUUAUUUUUUAUUUAUUUAUUUAUUUUUUGUCGUUUUGUUUUCAAGGCUCACAGAAGGAUGUGGAUUACAGAAAGAUAAGGUUAAAGGGGAGAAGAAAUCAAUCUUCAAAGGGUAAAAAAGUGAAAAACAGACAUCUCAGAACCCUUAAAAAGAGCAUCGAAAAGGAACAUCUCUCUUGCUUCAGGCUGGGGUUUAGUGGAAUGUGUGGAAUCUAUACAGUCAUCCCCAACAUCAGGUCAUCCAGACCACUUGUCAUUAGACUCCGCUAUCUGCUAGGAUCCAGUUUAAGAGAUCCAGUACUGGAGUCGGCAGAACUGGAGUAAAAUACUGGCCCUUGUACUGGGACCUCUCAGAUGUGGAGGUUAGCCUUGAAGGAUAUGUGCCAAGAAGCCAUGCAUGGAGAACCUCAAGUAACAUGAUGAUGCCGUCUGUGUUCAGCUUUGCCAAGAAUAUGCCUUUCAACUGAAAAUAGGGAAGAUAAAAAGCCCUACUACUGGGAUGAUGCAGGAGUCAGAAUUUCUUAUCGUAGAAUCUUACAUUAAGAUCCAAUUGCUGUGGGGCGCAGUGGCUCAUGCCUGUAAUCCCAACUCUCUGGGAGGCCAAAGCGGGCAGAUCACUUGAGGUCAGGAGUUCGAGACCAGCCUAGCCAACAUGGUGAAACCCCGUCUCUACAAAAAUUAGUUGGGCAUGGUGAUGCAUGCCUGUAAUCCCAGCUACUUGGGAGACUGAGGCUGGAGAAUUGCUUGAACCUGGGAGGCAGAGGUUGCAGUGAGCCGAGAUCGCAGCACUGCACUCCAGCCUGGGUGACAGAGUGAGACUCUGUCUCACACACACACACAAAAAGAUCCAGUUGCAUACUUUAUGAUGCCAACAUUCCUAAAUAGGAAUUUGCCUUACUGCUACCGUGGCUGGCUUCCAUUCUUGUAGCUCAGAUCCUUAACCUCCUCCAUUGUUAUCUGAUAUGGUUUAGAUGUUUGUUCCCUCCAAAUCUCAUGCUGAAAUGUGAUUCCUCCCCACCCUCCCCUGAAAAAAAGAAAAAAAUGUGAUUCCCAAUGUUGGAAGAUGGGAGAUGAUGGGAUCGUGGAGGUAGAUUCCUCCUGACUGGUUUAGCAGCAUCCCCUUGGUGAUAAGUGAGUUCUUGCUCAGUUAGUUCAUGUGAGAUUUAGUUGCUUAAAAGUUUGGGACCUCCCCUCCCUUGCAGUCUCUUGCCCCUGCUCUUACCAUUUGACAUGCUUGCUCCCCCUUUACCUUUCACCA